AUGAGCGCCUGGCCCUCUCCUCUGCUCUGGAGCUUGGCCACGGCGUGUCUGACAGGUAUUGCUUUAGGCCAGCUGACCACUACCCAAGUCCCUGUUUCAUCAACCCCGGUGCCUCCCAGUGGCACCACGACCCAUGCCUCCACACCCCCAGCUCCUGGUGGUGUUACAACCACCACAGACCUCGUCACGGCCACAGCUGUGCCAUCGGCAGACCCUGGAACAACAACGCUCGCUCCGGCCCUGCCCACCACCCUGCCGGUGACCGCGCUCACCUCUGGGAUCGUCACCACCUCUCACGCAUCCACCAGUGCCUCGGCCACCCCUCCAGAUGUCACCACGUCUUCUGGAGAUCCACCAACAGCUCCGUCCCUCACCACCUCUGUGCCCUCCAACUGCAGCAGAGUGAACGUGAUGGCAUGUGCCCCUUGCUCCCCAGGGACAUUUCCCAGCGAUGACGCCUGGAGCUGCUCGUGCUGCACGGGGGGCUCGUGCACGGACGCCGGUGCCUGCGUUCCCUGCCCGGUGGGGCACUACCAGCCCGCGUGGGGACAGCAGAGGUGCCUGCCGUGUCCGCAGGGACACUACGCCAACGCCACGAGGAGCACCGCGUGCUCCCCCUGCCCGCCCGGCCAUUACGCGAACGAGUCUGGGGCUGCAGCCUGCAGAGCGUGCCAGAAAGGUUAUUUUAGCUCCCAGCAAAAUGCAGCUUUUUGUCUGCCUUGCCUGCCUGGAUCGUUUUGCAACACCUCCAGCUGCACGGCAUGUCUGGCCUGUCCUGGUGGCCACGAGGCUCUGCGCAAGGCAGCCGAGGCGUGCGCGCCAUGCCGGGCAGGUAUGUUCAAAGGUCCCGGUGACACCGCGUGCAAGCUCUGCGAGCCAGGAGAAUACCAAUUGCUGCAGGGCCAGGAGAGCUGUGACCUGUGCCCAGAGAACCACUACUGCCCCAGCCCGGACGUGAAACCAACCAAGUGCCCUCCUGAUGCCUUCUGCCCCGCAGGCAGCACAGAGCCGCAGUACUGCAUGGAGGCCUUCCUCUACAAGGUGGGCAGCUCCUGCCAGCUGGCGCCGCUGGCCAUCGUCCUCCUGGCCCUUCUGUCCGCAGGUGGAAUCCUUACCAUCUUUGUGAUAAUACUGAAAAGAAGGCACGAAUCUAGCAAGAACUCUUUGAAGUCCCUGCUGCUACCAAGAAAGUCGGGGUGGCACACAACCUACGGCGUGAUGGAGCACACAGAGCCGGUGUAUGCUGGCUGGUAG
This is a long non-coding RNA of Anser brachyrhynchus (Pink-footed goose), 1254 nucleotides long. Lineage: Eukaryota; Metazoa; Chordata; Aves; Anseriformes; Anatidae. The record is from Ensembl.